This 86-nucleotide transfer RNA is filed under the name Acidimicrobiia bacterium. RNAcentral describes it as "tRNA-Leu". It matches the Rfam family "tRNA". From Rfam's summary of the family: Transfer RNA (tRNA) molecules are approximately 80 nucleotides in length. Their secondary structure includes four short double-helical elements and three loops (D, anti-codon, and T loops). Further hydrogen bonds mediate the characteristic L-shaped molecular structure. tRNAs have two regions of fundamental functional importance: the anti-codon, which is responsible for specific mRNA codon recognition, and the 3' end, to which the tRNAs corresponding amino acid is attached (by aminoacyl-tRNA synthetases). tRNAs cope with the degeneracy of the genetic code in two manners: having more than one tRNA (with a specific anti-codon) for a particular amino acid; and 'wobble' base-pairing, i.e. permitting non-standard base-pairing at the 3rd anti-codon position. The record is from RNAcentral. Lineage: Bacteria; Bacillati; Actinomycetota; Acidimicrobiia.
GCCCGGGUGGCGGAAUCGGUAGACGCAGAGGGCUUAAACCCCUCGGCUCGACUUGGAGCGUGUGGGUUCGAAUCCCACUCCGGGCA